CGGCGUGCCUAACACAUGCAAGUCGAACGGGGUGGAGCCCUUCGGGACUCUACUUAGUGGCGAACGGGUGAGUAACGCGUGAGGAACCUGCCUUUCAGUGGGGGACAACAGUUGGAAACGACUGCUAAUACCGCAUAACAUACACGGACCGCAUGAUCUGUGUAUCAAAGCUUUAUGUGCUGAAAGAUGGCCUCGCGUCUGAUUAGCUAGUUGGUGGGGUAACGGCCCACCAAGGCGACGAUCAGUAGCCGGUCUGAGAGGAUGAACGGCCACAUUGGGACUGAGAUACGGCCCAGACUCCUACGGGAGGCAGCAGUGGGGAAUAUUGGGCAAUGGGGGAAACCCUGACCCAGCAACGCCGCGUGAAGGAAGAAGGCCUUCGGGUUGUAAACUUCUUUUAGCAGGGACGAAUACGUGACGGUACCUGCAGAAAAAGCAACGGCUAACUACGUG
This 453-nucleotide ribosomal RNA is filed under the name uncultured bacterium. Its description in RNAcentral is "bacterial SSU rRNA". It matches the Rfam family "Bacterial small subunit ribosomal RNA", at positions 40 to 507 of the family's 1533-position model. The record is from RNAcentral.